GACGAACGCUGGCGGCGUGCCUAACACAUGCAAGUCGAGCGAGAUCCAACCGGUAGCAAUACCGGUGAAGAUCGAGCGGCGAACGGGUGAGUAACACGUGAGAAACCUGCCCCGAAGACCGGGAUAACCCGAGGAAACUCGGGCUAAUACCGGAUACCCCCACCAGGUCACAUGUCCAGGUGAGGAAAUGCUCCGGCGCUUUGGGAGGGUCUCGCGGCCUAUCAGCUAGUUGGUGAGGUAACGGCUCACCAAGGCAUCGACGGGUAGCUGGUCUGAGAGGACGAUCAGCCACACUGGGACUGAGACACGGCCCAGACUCCUACGGGAGGCAGCAGUGGGGAAUCUUGCGCAAUGGGCGAAAGCCUGACGCAGCAACGCCGCGUGGGGGAUGAAGGCUCUCGGGUCGUAAACCCCUUUCAGGAGGGACGAAAAUGACGGUACCUCCAGAAGAAGCCCCGGCCAACUACG
RNAcentral lists this ribosomal RNA (468 nucleotides) under uncultured Acidimicrobiales bacterium. RNAcentral describes it as "bacterial SSU rRNA". It matches the Rfam family "Bacterial small subunit ribosomal RNA", at positions 28 to 505 of the family's 1533-position model. Lineage: Bacteria; Bacillati; Actinomycetota; Acidimicrobiia; Acidimicrobiales. The record is from RNAcentral.